This 639-nucleotide ribosomal RNA is filed under the name Thaxterogaster mutabilis. Its description in RNAcentral is "eukaryotic LSU rRNA". It matches the Rfam family "Eukaryotic large subunit ribosomal RNA", at positions 1 to 625 of the family's 3401-position model. Lineage: Eukaryota; Fungi; Basidiomycota; Agaricomycetes; Agaricales; Cortinariaceae. The record is from RNAcentral.
GUGACCUCAAAUCAGGUAGGACUACCCGCUGAACUUAAGCAUAUCAAUAAGCGGAGGAAAAGAAACUAACAAGGAUUCCCCUAGUAACUGCGAGUGAAGCGGGAAAAGCUCAAAUUUAAAAUCUGGCAGUCUCUGGCUGUCCGAGUUGUAAUCUAGAGAAGUGUUAUCCGCGCUGGACCGUGUACAAGUCUCCUGGAAUGGAGCGUCAUAGAGGGUGAGAAUCCCGUCUUUGACACGGACUGCCAGGGCUUUGUGAUGCGCUCUCAAAGAGUCGAGUUGUUUGGGAAUGCAGCUCAAAAUGGGUGGUAAAUUCCAUCUAAAGCUAAAUAUUGGCGAGAGACCGAUAGCGAACAAGUACCGUGAGGGAAAGAUGAAAAGAACUUUGGAAAGAGAGUUAAACAGUACGUGAAAUUGCUGAAAGGGAAACGCUUGAAGUCAGUCGCGUUGGCCAGGGAUCAACCUUGCUUUUGCUUGGUGCACUUUCUGGUUGAUGGGUCAGCAUCAAUUUUGACUAUUGGAAAAAGGUCAAGGGAAUGUGGCAUCUUCGGAUGUGUUAUAGCCCUUAGCUGCAUACAAUGGUUGGGAUUGAGGAACUCAGCACGCCGCAAGGCCGGGUUUAACCACGUACGUGCUAGGAUG